RNAcentral lists this non-coding RNA (253 nucleotides) under uncultured bacterium. Its description in RNAcentral is "partial 16S ribosomal RNA". It matches the Rfam family "Bacterial small subunit ribosomal RNA", at positions 524 to 776 of the family's 1533-position model. The record is from RNAcentral. RNAcentral also lists the same sequence under 1 other name.
UACGGAGGGUGCAAGCGUUGUCCGGAUUUAUUGGGUUUAAAGGGUGCGUAGGCGGCUUAUUAAGUCAGUGGUGAAAGCCAACAGCUCAACUGUUGAACUGCCAUUGAUACUGAUAAGCUUGAGUACAGACGAGGUAGGCGGAAUUGAAGAUGUAGCGGUGAAAUGCAUAGAUAUCUUCAAGAACACCGAUUGCGUAGGCAGCUUACUAGGCUGUAACUGACGCUGAGGCACGAAAGCGUGGGGAGCGAACAGG